This 383-nucleotide ribosomal RNA is filed under the name uncultured organism. RNAcentral describes it as "bacterial SSU rRNA". It matches the Rfam family "Bacterial small subunit ribosomal RNA", at positions 45 to 433 of the family's 1533-position model. The record is from RNAcentral.
UGCCUUACACAUGCAAGUCGAACGGUAACAGCACUUCGGUGGCUGACGAGUGGCGAACGGGUGAGUAAUACAUCGGAACGUGCCCGAGAGUGGGGGAUAACGCAGCGAAAGCUGUGCUAAUACCGCAUACGAUCUACGGAUGAAAGCAGGGGACCGCAAGGCCUUGCGCUCAUGGAGCGGCCGAUGGCAGAUUAGGUAGUUGGUGGGAUAAAAGCUUACCAAGGCGACGAUCGGUAGCUGGUCUGAGAGGAUGACCAGCCACACUGGAACUGAGACACGGUCCAGACUCCUACGGGAGGCAGCAGUGGGGAAUAUUGGACAAUGGGGGAAACCCUGAUCCAGCAUGCCGCGUGUGUGAAGAAGGCCUGAGGGUUGUAAAGCGC